Molecule: long non-coding RNA, 447 nt
Filed under: Coffea arabica (coffee)
Lineage: Eukaryota; Viridiplantae; Streptophyta; Magnoliopsida; Gentianales; Rubiaceae
Description: long non-coding RNA (CARA_LNC002643)
Source: RNAcentral
AGCAUAUCCAUUCACAAUAUCACAAGUCAGAUCCAAAUAAUGGCAGUUUCACUUCAAAUAGAAAUCAAACUUGAGGACUGUAAUGCACUUACCAUGAAGGACUGCUCAAAAAGAUUAAUAAAGUGCUAGAACUUGAACUCUUUAUGCUUCCUGCAUCCAAUGUCCCUAGUCAUUGAAUAAAAUGUUAAUUAACAAUAAUUGUACUGAGCCUUGAGAGCAUUGGAAUGGGUCCCUUUAUUACUUUUUAGAAAAAAAUGAAACCAGUUAUAUAUUUGUGAUGUUUUGGGAACAAAGCCAACAUAAAUCUCUCAAAGAAUUAAAAAAAAUCUCAAAGAAUAAUCCAGACAUCCAAUCAUAAAUAAAUGAAACUACUUUCCUAUUAACUAUGGAAAAACCAAAUACAAACCGACAGAGAUGUCUUCAUUUACAUGCAAGAUGUAUGAAAAA